Long non-coding RNA from Empidonax traillii (willow flycatcher), 722 nucleotides. RefSeq lists it as uncharacterized. The transcript is spliced from 3 exons. Lineage: Eukaryota; Metazoa; Chordata; Aves; Passeriformes; Tyrannidae. The record is from RefSeq and is a predicted model, not a curated record.
GAAUCACACAAUAUUUAGGGUUGGAAGGCACCUCGGGAGAUCAUCCAGACCAACCAGGGGCACCCAGAGCAGGUGACACAGGGAAAGCAUCCAGCAAAUACAACCACUGUUCGUGACAAACACAUGAUUUCCAAAGUGAAGAAUAAAGAAUUGUGUCAGCUAGAGAGAGAGAAGGAAGAUGAAACAAGCACAGUAAUACACAGGAGGCAAAAAGAAAGAGCAAGAACAUUAUGUUCAUCAGCCACGGACCCAAAUUAACUUGGGAAAGAGAUGUGGAAAUUGGAUUAACUCCUAUGAAAGCAUCAGGGAAUGAUUGGAGCCCAAAGGACUUACCUGCAGCAUGGGCCUGGAUGUGGCUGUGGCUGGAAAAGCCUUUGUUCCCCAUCCCACUCUGUACCUGGUUCAGCUCCGUUCCCAGCCGGGCCCAACCCACGGCUCAGCCCCGGAUCAUUCCCUCACUGGGAUCCAUUCCUGCCUGAAAUUCUGAAACAUCAGUGCCAGUGCUUCUCCCGGACUUGUGUCAGCCUGUGCCAGUGCUUUCCUGGGAUCUGGACACAGGAAUUUUGGAGGGUGCUCUUGCUCUUCCUUCUCCACUCUACUUCAUCCCCUUUAAGUACCUCAAACCCUUCCCAUUUCCCAGACCUUUUCCAAAAUAGGCAUUUCCAGAAAGAACUAUUCUAAAUAUAUAUUUGUACAAAUAUAUACAUGCUCCCUGUUCUAAA